AGAGGGUGCAAACGUUGCUCGGAAUCACUGGGCGUAAAGGGCGUGUAGGCGGGAAGGAAAGUCAGAUGUGAAAUCCCUGGGCUCAACCCAGGAACUGCAUUUGAAACUCCCUUUCUUGAGUGUCGGAGAGGAAAGUGGAAUUCCUGGUGUAGAGGUGAAAUUCGUAGAUAUCAGGAGGAACACCGGUGGCGAAGGCGGCUUUCUGGACGACAACUGACGCUGAGACGCGAAAGCGUGGGGAGCAAACAGGAUUAGAUACCCUGGUAGUCCACGCUGUAAACGAUGAACACUAGGUGUCGUGGGUAUUGACCCCCGCGGUGCCGCAGCUAACGCAUUAAGUGUUCCGCCUGGGAAGUACGGUCGCAAGACUAAA
RNAcentral lists this ribosomal RNA (373 nucleotides) under uncultured bacterium. RNAcentral's name for it is "bacterial SSU rRNA". It matches the Rfam family "Bacterial small subunit ribosomal RNA", at positions 527 to 898 of the family's 1533-position model. The record is from RNAcentral.